This 466-nucleotide ribosomal RNA is filed under the name uncultured Smithella sp. Its description in RNAcentral is "bacterial SSU rRNA". It matches the Rfam family "Bacterial small subunit ribosomal RNA", at positions 338 to 795 of the family's 1533-position model. Lineage: Bacteria; Pseudomonadati; Thermodesulfobacteriota; Syntrophia; Syntrophales; Smithellaceae. The record is from RNAcentral.
CCUACGGGCGGCUGCAGUGAGGAAUAUUGCGCAAUGGGGGCAACCCUGACGCAGCAACGCCGCGUGAGUGAGGAAGGUUUUCGGACCGUAAAGCUCUGUCGAGCGGGAAGAAAUGCAUGGUGGCUAAUAUCCAUCAUGCUUGACGGUACCGCUAAAGGAAGCACCGGCUAACUCCGUGCCAGCAGCCGCGGUAAUACGGGGGGUGCGAGCGUUGUUCGGAAUUAUUGGGCGUAAAGAGCGUGUAGGCGGCUGGAUCAGUCAGAUGUGAAAUCCCUGGGCUUAACCCAGGACGUGCAUUUGAAACUGUCCGGCUGGAGUAGGGGAGAGGAAAGUGGAAUUCCUGGUGUAGAGGUGAAAUUCGUAGAUAUCAGGAGGAACACCGGUGGCGAAGGCGACUUUCUGGCCCUAUACUGACGCUGAGACGCGAGAGCGUGGGUAGCAAACAGGAUUAGAUACCCUUGUAGUC